This is a long non-coding RNA of Ostrea edulis (European flat oyster), 1229 nucleotides long. RefSeq lists it as uncharacterized. The transcript is spliced from 2 exons. Lineage: Eukaryota; Metazoa; Mollusca; Bivalvia; Ostreida; Ostreidae. The record is from RefSeq and is a predicted model, not a curated record.
CAAGAUAGUGCAAAGAUACAGUAAGUUAUUGUGAAGAGGUGGAAGUGCACCUAUCCCAUUUUGUACCAUGUGCGCAUGUUUUCACCCGAUUUUUUAAACCGGAAAUGGCAAAAAAAGAAAAGAAAAAGGGAGCGGAUCCAAGGACAGCACACACUUCAGAUAGUUAGUUUUCGGUAUUGUUGUUUUUUUCUUUCUUUCUUGUUUGUAUUUUUAUUUAUUAUUUUAUCUUCUUAUUUAAUAAGAUACACAUAUAAAAAGUCAAUAAGGUAUGAUUUGUUUUUAAAAAAGAAUUAUCUUUCUUCAUUCUUCUUUGAAACAAAGGACAACAUAUUUGCUGCUCUCAUUACAUAAUAUGAUAGAUCAGAGACAUACUCCAUCUCGACACUGUCAUAUUCUAUCAUGCUUCCAUGUGGUAUCUUAUAACUUGUAAGAUUGAUCGUUGUUCGUCAUCUUCACAUUUUUUUUAUGUACUUUUUCUGUUCAAUGCACUCACAGACCCUGGCGUUUGCUUUUGGUCACUCUUUCGAAGCUUUUAACUCUUGCAGUCUGACAUCACUUGUGUUUCUCUACAUUUAAAUCUCAAUCUAAUACUCAUCAAUAUUUGAUCCUCAUCGAAACCUACCAAUAGUCACUACUGUAUAUAAAUUCAUAUGUAACCCUUGCAUGCUUAUUUUCAAUGCUUUUUAAGUGGUGAUGGUAGUGGUGGGGGUAGGGGUCUAAAAUCCGUUUUAAUUUUACAGUUUUUAUGUUCAUUUCACAUAAAAAUGUUAUGUUCAUGAGAGUUUUGAUAUUAUGAUACAUUAUAUUCAAUACUGUUGUAAUUUAACAGUUUUUGGUACACAGUGAAAACAGCAGGAAACGCAGUAGCAGAAAUAAGGUUGUAUACAGCAUUGCAUGUAAGAGUGGACCAAACAGCUGAGCUUUUUAAAAUGAGUGACAAAAUAAUUUGCAUCAUAAUUUAAUCAUCAUUUUGAGUUUGAUACAUGUAUAAUGUAAACAUAACACACUCUUUAAGUACUAAUGAUCAGUAACAUUAUUUAUCUCCUAUUUACACAGCUAACAGUACCGUAAUCAUGAUACUACACUAUUCGAUUGACUCUCUGAUUUAUCCGAGAGUUCACUGGUUUUUUGCACUGUGACAGUCUCGUAGAUAUGCUCAUCCUGCUCCUCUGAACCAUAACGAUCACUGGUCUGUACACCGUUAAAAUAGGUUUGUCGGUGAUUGUCCC